AAUCAGCUAUUGUUUCUAGCUUUUGAUACAUUGAUGAUCUAAAGAAAUCUAUUCUUUUUUUAUGGGAUAUGAUUGUAGGAUGUGCAUUUCGAAUAUAUUAACUGUAAGUUGCAGCUAUCUUUGUUAUCUACUAAAAUUUUUCAGUAAAAUGAUUCUUAUUCAGUAUAUAGAAUGUGAUAUUUGUAAAGAAAAACAAUUGAGGCAAGAACUUAUAAUGCAUGUUACAUCCUUAUAAACAAGUCCGUCUGCAAACAUCUUAGGAUAGAGAAUGUUAAAAUUUCACCCUACAACAAAAGCAAGGAACUUGUAACAUUAUGGUUAAGUUGGAUUUCUGCCGCCAAUAAGGAUCCAGCCUCUGGUGAUGGUAAACUAUCUCAAAAUUCAAUUUUCUUUAUCUUUUUUCCCAAAAAAUCCAAUUAGAUUCUUGUUUCAUGUACUUGAAGCAUUACUAACUUAAGCAUCAGAAACAGAAAAAGGAAUGAGAAUGCCUUAGUAACAUUAUAUUUGAUAGUAUUUAGCAGCAACCGGCAAUGAGUAUUGGUGCAACUCUUGUGACAGAGUGCUAGCAGUCAGUAGUGCCAAAUCCUCUGUUUGUUGCAACUUAAAAGUAGUCCAUGGGGAUCCAUAUGUGCUGAUGAGCAUAGGACUUGCAUGUCAUAGUAACACUUGCUGUGCAUCGCCUUUGUAUUCUUUUUUACGAAAGAGUUACCGAUUGUGCACUUGGUGUUUUUAGGAUUUGGUUCAUGAGGGAGAAGAAGUAUCUUUUCCAUCAUAGUUAUUGCUAAGUUUGUAAUAAAAACUUUAUUUGUUUUGUAACAAUUGAUGAUGAAGCUGCACGACAGUAGGUGUGUUGUCAGCUCUGCAGAUUUUACCUGUUCCCUGUUCUGUAUAGCCUUUGGUUUGCACAUUUAAAAUGUGGUGUUAUAUUUUGGUUUCGUAGGUUAGUUUAAGAAAAGUGUUCACAAUCAACAAUUAAUUUGAUUUUGAGAGAAGAAAACACUCUUUUGAGUAAUUCUUAACUGAUUCGCCUGAAGCUAGUGCCUCCCUGAUGCACCAUAACCAUUGCAUGGUUACCACACCCCACGCAUCACGCAUUGUUAUAAAGAAUUAAGCUUUCCACUAAAGUUGAAAUACUACUUUCUCACGUAAAGCAACUGGAACAUUUCUGAAAAGUCUAGAAAACAACGAAUCUCCUUUAAACCCUCCCAAAGUCAAGUAUUAACCUAAUUAGGAUAAAACUCCCACAUUCCUACAUAAGGGUAUCAAAACCAAACAUUUACCAUAUUUCUAUUUUUCUAAAAUCAAUUUAAUUAUCAUUUCCAAACACAGGUUUCAGGAAAGACAAAACCAGCCACAAAAGUCCUGGAAUAUGGGUGUCUGAUCCUUAUGGCCAAAUCGGAAAAGAACAAUCUUUAAACCCAGGAAAAGGGACUCUAUAAGUCCUUUUAAGCAUAUGACAGGAGUAAAAGUAUUUUCUAUCAACUAAAAUUUUGAAUAAGGCGAUGUUUAUGUUCUAUAUUUGUAUGUGGACUAACAUGGCAAAUUCUUUUGACAAUAUGUCACGAAACAAAACCGACCAAACUGUUGUCAUAAAUAUCUAUUUUUUUCCUCCCUUGUAUUUGUCUUUUUAAUGCUUUUCCAUUCCAGGAAACUUCGAAGAACAUAUAUUGGAAAUUGGAUAUCCAAGAGAUGACACUGGAUAUGAAAAUUCACCUCAAUCAGAGAAUAUUGAUCUCCCCCAGUACAGGCGAGCAACACGCGUGUGUUCUCAGCAACCAUUACUACUCACCAACAGCUUUGAUUCUAUUCACUCAUCAUUACAUCCUAGGUUUGCCACACUACUGACAAGCUGUUCAACAUAAAAUGUGAAAGAGGCACCCGAACCAAUGGAAACAGAAUUCAUGUUCUAAAUCAUUGUAUUGUUUUUUCUCUUUACCAUUCAAUUUCUUUGAUACAAGGUUCCUGCUGCUCCAAUAUAUGUUUAUUUAUUUAUUUUGUUCUUUUUGGUAGCAGAGAUACUUGUUGGAUUCUUUUGAUUACACCACUAGCUCAAAGUAUUUGUUAGAGUCAGAACCUACAUCCAGUAAUUUGAUUACACAUUGGAUUGCAGAGAUAUGGACCGCGAAGAUGAUCAGCCUGACAAUGCCAUCUAUGUUCAACAAGCUAAUGCAUGAAGUGGCUUGAUGAGACGUUUACCAGUUCGAUUGUCUCCAUUUCAUUCAACAGUGUGGCCAAUCUAGGAGUGGACCACAUGAAGGAUUUUUAUUUAUUUUUAUGUAUUCAAGACCAUUUUUAACUUAUUGUUGUAAAUAUUAUAUAUUUUUAUUGUAAAGUAAUAUAAUUCUUGUUUAAUAUU
Magnolia sinica is the source of this 2356-nucleotide long non-coding RNA. RefSeq lists it as uncharacterized. The transcript has 2 exons. The record is from RefSeq and is a predicted model, not a curated record. NCBI's taxonomy places the organism in Eukaryota, Viridiplantae, Streptophyta, Magnoliopsida, Magnoliales, Magnoliaceae.